Long non-coding RNA from Macrobrachium nipponense, 535 nucleotides. RefSeq lists it as uncharacterized. NCBI's taxonomy places the organism in Eukaryota, Metazoa, Arthropoda, Malacostraca, Decapoda, Palaemonidae. The record is from RefSeq and is a predicted model, not a curated record. The transcript has 4 exons.
GGUUGCGUCGUCUCUUGGUUUAAUGUCGGAACUGGACGUUUCACGGACGCAUAUCCUGGUUACGUUGGCGAAGGAACUGGGGGUUGUUUUAUGAAGUUUUUCGUGUACGUGGCCGGGACUUGAUGCAACGUUGGCUAGGGAAGGCUACGUGGAGUUACAGGUCGGUUAUGUCCAGUUUUUACGUAGUAUAACUUGGAGACUUCUAACGUUCCAGGGAGAUGACAGUGAAUCCAAGCUUUAUGGAGCCAGGCUAACUAAUCAAACUUCUCUUUUGAGAAAAGGAAACUUUGUUAAAAAAAUUCUGAACCCAGGAUAACUUCUGUAUCGGUGCAAGAGAAAAAACGGGUUACGUGGCUCUUCAAGUAUACAGGAUAGAUCAAUUGGAAUGGUUAUGUAAGGCAACAAGAAGAAUUGUGCUAAGGAACUGGUGCGUCUGCGCGUUUGUUGCAAAAGUUGAUAAAUUGAGGUGACUGGAGCCUGGCAUUACUGAUUGCUCUACUUAAGCGUGCUAAUAAGUUUUAUUUUUUUUUUUAUU